AUUUGGUACAGGAGGGGGCUGCCUGAAAGCCACUGCUGCAGGUGCACCAGGUAGAACCAAGACGCACUGCAGCGAGAGCAUGGCAGGCAGGCAGAGUGGCCUCAGAGACCAGGCUGCUGCUCGUGCCACUGUGCAAGGAGUGGAGUGGCGGGGCCUUUAAUCUUCUGAGUGGUUGGGACUGCUGCCAGGAGCCAGCUCCUUUCCCUGGAGGUGGCAGCAGAAUAUCCCCUCAUCUGUUCCUCUCCUGCCACCCAAAGACACAAAACAUGUGGGACCAAAAUUGGGGCUCCCUCCAGGUUACUCCUGUCAGAGAUCGUGGUGUAUGGCAGUAAAAUGUCCACAGGCACAGAAAGGCCAAGUUUAACAUCAACCUUUUCUUUUGGGGACACAAAGUGCUUUUGGGAACUAUACACAUGCUGCUCGCAGCCAAUGGGGACAACUUGUUUUUUAUGACUUGAAAAGUUGGUGCACGUCUAUGCUGGGUUCAGAUUUGGUUCUCCUUCCUUUCCAUGGGGCAUAUACAACACCAUCUUGCAAUCUCCUUCUGAGAAUCCUUAGCAAAGGCUCAAAAGAAGAGGAUAGAGGGAGUUAAAUGUGAAUCUACAUGAAGUAGUGUUACUGGUGGUCUUGUUCCAAAGCCUGAUUCAGUUUUUAAACUGUAAAAUCUAGCUCUGCAUUCAAAGGAAAGCUUCUCUGCUAAAGACAGUUAUUCUUAAAUGGUAAUUCCUCAUUGAAACAGGAUGUAAAUUCAGUGGCCAGCCAGACUAGAAGAUGACUUAAAAUUGUUCAUUAUUGUGGUUCCAUACAGGUAUCACAUGUAUCUAGUCCGGAAAAAUUUGAACUAGGAUUCAAAAAAAAAAAAAAAAAAAAAUCAGCCAAAAGGAAGCCCUUCUGCUCUGUUUAUUCUCCAAAAUACACUCCCCAAGCCCCACUCAUUUGAGAAACAAAUAGCUUGGCAACUGUAUAAGAUCUUCAAACACCUGUGCUCUACAAUUCUAAUUGUGGUUUAUACAGUUCACUUCUCUCAGUGCUGGUUAUGUCUGCCCCUAGCCUCUGACUGAAGACACAAAAUACAUAACCAACAGCUUAAAACAUUUAUUCUGAAGUAAAGCCAAGGUCAAAUACACACAAAAAUGUCACAUGCCAAAAAAAAAAAAAAAAAAAAAAAAUCAAGACCCGAGAAAAGGAUCUGAAUCAUGAAGCUAAUUAAAUACAGAAAAAUGAUGUUCAAAUCGUUUUUAAAGACGAAGAAACAAACUCAAAACAUACGACUGAUAUUAAACCCAUUUCAGCAUGAAAGGUGAGGAUUUUUUUCUCCUAAGUGCUUGUGAGAAGUGCCAGACUGAUCUCAGUGGGCCUAAGCUCUUAUCUUCAGACUAGAUACACGAUGAACAGGCUACCUCCAACAGAUGUGCCUCACCCCUGACCUCUAGGGCAGUGAUGUGCUUCCAACAUUUUAACAAGGAGAUCUCUCAACAUUUUUCCACCUCAGUCUGUGACAAAACAUUCCCUGAGGAAAGUAUUCUCUUCACUCCCACCCCUCCUGUGCAAAAUAUCCAUCUGUUCCACAGGUCCCCCACAAAACCUAUCAAUCUUUCCACACACACCCCAAAUCCACCAAUGCAUCCACCCUCAACCGCUGGGCCCAGUAACAAUUGACAUACCAUGCUUCCCCUGCCCCAGCACCUCAUAGAAGCUCCUCUAGGUGGUGGCUUCCCUACCUAACAACCUUUGGUGACAGCAGUGAGAGCAAACAGAUUGUACUGAGGUCUCUGGCUGUGGGAUGGCUGAGUGGGGAGUGGGUCACCACUCGUAGUGAGCUGAGGGAGAGCAUAGUUGCAUGGGAAAAGGGUCCUUUUUGGUUCCUAAGGUAAGCAAGCGUCCCCUGGUGGAAGCUGGUGUGUGCACAUGGGAGACUGGGUAGAGGGGUUCUACCCUAACUGAUGUGUAAUGUUGGAAACGGCCCCUAGCUUGGGUGGGGUAGUAGGUCUCUACAGGCUCGUAGUGAUGAAGGGCUCUCUCAAAGUAACAGCUCUUUAAAGACCAACCUGAAGCUAGCCAGGCCUUGGAUAAUUCUGAGCACAGAAGCCAGUGACAACAAAGGGAUUAGAGUUGUCAGGGUAGAGAGAAUUACAUAUUCACAGUACAGUAACUGAAAAAUAUUGUGUAGUGAUUAUGUAAAUCUCUAGACUCCCACUGGCUAAUAACGGCUGUCCGACAGCCAGAAUAUAGGGAUGCAAACUGUAUGGUUAUGCAAGUCAGGACACCCACAAUCAGAGUGCAGGGAAAUGCAUUAAAGGAAAAAAUUCUUUAUGGUUAUGGGUCAGGAACUAUACAGAAUCCUUGCCCUCUGAAUGGCUGAGACAACUCCCUUUGAGUAGGAUAUGUAAUAGCUUGACAUUUAUAUUUACUAACGAAAGAUGAGUUGUGAGAUGGGUUUGAAUUGUUUAAUUUAAAUUCCGUUGACAAGGACUGUGAGAAGAGGGGCCUGGGUGAAUGAAGGGAAUGCGCCAAUAUUCUAAACUUAUUUGCCCAAAGUUGUGUGUUCACCUACUUUCUAGAACUGUAACUUGAAAUUUAACGAUUGUAAAAUAUUUCUUACAUUACAGGUGCAAUGUGAGGUUAAUGUCUGUAAAAUGUUAUGAGGUCCUCAGAAGGCAGACCGUAUAUACAUGCAAAGUAUUAUUUUAAAAUAAAUAUAUAUAAACAUAAUGAUCUCUUAAUCCAUUUAAAAAAAAAAUCCAGAUGUUAGAUUUUUCCUUAACAUACAGUCUAAUCCUCAAGAACCCUUGUUGGAACAACAGUUUUCAGUGGAGGAGAUAAACGUAAUCCCAGAUGCCAUAAUGAAUUAGCAAAGAUUAAAGACCUGUUCGGGAAAAGAAGAGUGGAUUCUUAUCAGUGAACUGUACUAUUUGCUUUAAACUGGAAAGAAACAGAAGGUCCCUUUCUCAAUCAGUAAAACACUGAUACAAUAAAAAAAUCCUAACUGUGCCCUAAUUAAUGUUUUCCAAGCAGUAUUCUACAUGUAAAAGUAACAGCACCUGAUUCAUAUCCAGUAUCCCAGGGCUAGGGCCAGGGACUUCCUCCUAGCAAGAGUCAGGAACUAUGGAACUGUAGGAGGGCAGGAGCACAAGGAACUGAGCGGCAGCGCACCAUCUCAGCUGGAGGAAGAGGAACAGCAGCUUUACAACUAGCUGGACAUCACUGAUGUUGAAAGACUCUUUCUUCUUUACUAUGAACUAUGGAUUUCUUUCCUCUUUGCUGAUUGGCUGUUAGCGCUACCUUCUUCCCACCCCACUUCCUCGCAGUCUCUUAGUUGCCAGCCUCACUCUCCCUGUCCUACAGGAUCCUUUCUGCUCAUGUGCCAUUAACCUCCCUGGACUGAGGAAAUGUUACAAUUCCGAAGGGAGUUUGAGGAGGAAAGAUAAACAAUUUUGCCAAACUGAAUCCAAGUUGGUGCUAGACAUCAGGGAAUAAACAUCUAUUUAGGGAAUUCACAUGGCUCCCAUAACAUCUGAACCCUGUUGGAGAUACAGUCAAGGAUAUAAAUGAACAGAGAGGAAGAGGUAGAUUAGGAGGAGUCAAAAAUCAGGACUUGAAUUAUACGUAUGUGUGAGAGGAGUUCUGUGCUCUACCAAGCUCUGCCCAUGAGCCAACACCCACCUACCGGAGAUGCCAAAAUGAGACACCACUCACAGCACAUUGCGUAGAUAUUCAAAAUAUAAACAUGAAGGCUUUGCUGGGAUCCUUAGACGUGGUUCUCCCUAAAUGGAUUCAAGUAUACUCAUGAGUAAGCCAAAUUAAAGGCACACGCAUAACAUAUACAUGCCUAGGGCCCCAGCUCCCAGACACAUAGGAUGACAUCAAAAUCACCUCUUCCAUAAAAGGAAAGCUUAAAAACAUGAUGCGAGUGUAACCAAUGCAAUGAUGUCAGCCUGAGUACGCAGACAGCCUCUGGCAGAGGGACAAACAGAAGCAAUUAGAGGCAGGGGAGAAAGCACGUGGCCCACACCCAUUACAAGAGCAGACCAUAUCCCCACUGCUCUGGAUGGGUGGG
Dermochelys coriacea (leatherback sea turtle) is the source of this 4057-nucleotide long non-coding RNA. RefSeq lists it as uncharacterized. Lineage: Eukaryota; Metazoa; Chordata; Testudines; Dermochelyidae. The record is from RefSeq and is a predicted model, not a curated record. The transcript is spliced from 3 exons.